CCAAUAGCGUAUAUUAAAGUUGUUGCAGUUAAAAAGCUCGUAGUUGAACUUCGGGGUUUACCCAUUGGUCAGGCUUAAUUGUCUGUACUGGUGAGAUGAAUCUCUACCUUCUGAGGAACUUUCAUGCCAUUUAUUUGGUGUGAUUGGAAAUCAGGACUGUUACUUUGAAAAAAUUAGAGUGUUUAAAGCAGGCUAACGUCUGAAUACAUUAGCAUGGAAUAAUGAAAUAGGACGGAUUGAUUCUAUUUCGUUGGUUUCUAGGAUCACCGUAAUGAUUAAUAGGGAUAGGUGGGGGCAUUAGUAUUCAAUUGUCAGAGGUGAAAUUCUUGGAUUUAUGGAAGACUAACUACUGCGAAAGCAUUUGCCAAGGAUGUUUUCAUUAAUCAAGAACAAAAGUUAGGUGAUCGAAGACGAUCAGAUACCGUCGUAGUCUUAACCAUAAACUAUGCCGACUAGGGAUCGGAAGAAGUUAAUUUUAUAAUGACGCGUUCGGCACCUUACG
This 502-nucleotide ribosomal RNA is filed under the name uncultured Glomeromycotina. RNAcentral describes it as "partial small subunit ribosomal RNA". It matches the Rfam family "Eukaryotic small subunit ribosomal RNA", at positions 591 to 1092 of the family's 1831-position model. Lineage: Eukaryota; Fungi; Glomeromycota. The record is from RNAcentral.